UGGAGCCCAACUCCCCUCGGAGAUGGUCAUCACUGUCCCAUGCCGGCCACUUUCCAUCUUGCCCCAGACAAUGAGCCUUAAGCUCUGGGCUGCACUGACCCAGGGCAGGAUGUGUGAAGAGCCAAGCUCCAACCGCC
This 137-nucleotide long non-coding RNA is filed under the name Fukomys damarensis (Damara mole-rat). RNAcentral describes it as "lncRNA (ENSFDAG00000026523.1)". Lineage: Eukaryota; Metazoa; Chordata; Mammalia; Rodentia; Bathyergidae. The record is from RNAcentral.